This 305-nucleotide ribosomal RNA is filed under the name uncultured bacterium. RNAcentral describes it as "bacterial SSU rRNA". It matches the Rfam family "Bacterial small subunit ribosomal RNA", at positions 335 to 636 of the family's 1533-position model. The record is from RNAcentral.
CACCCUACGGGGCGCAGCAGUGAGGAAUAUUGGUCAAUGGGCGGAAGCCUGAACCAGCCAAGUCGCGUGAGGGAAUAAGGCCCUACGGGUCGUAAACCUCUUUUGCCGGGGAGCAACGGGGUCCUUGCGAGGGCCCGAUGAGAGUGCCCGGAGAAAAAGCAUCGGCUAACUCCGUGCCAGCAGCCGCGGUAAUACGUAGGUGGCAAGCGUUAUCCGGAAUUAUUGGGCGUAAAGAGCGCGCAGGUGGUUAAUUAAGUCUGAUGUGAAAGCCCACGGCUUAACCGUGGAGGGUCAUUGGAAACUGG